Molecule: non-coding RNA, 826 nt
Organism: Nicotiana tabacum (common tobacco)
Lineage: Eukaryota; Viridiplantae; Streptophyta; Magnoliopsida; Solanales; Solanaceae
Source: RefSeq, a predicted model, not a curated record
GCACAACAUUUGCAGCGGCCCCGUUCCCAGUCCGUUAACCCACCUGGUCCAGACUUUCCCCAAUACCAAACAACCCCGUUUUGUCCCGGAUUAAUCCCCACCCUUCAUCUCACUUGAUCCAGUGAUAGAGAACUAAUCUUGUGUUUCCCUUGUAACUGUCCGAAACGACCACCCCAACCCCCAUAACCCUUCUCAGAUCAUCCCCCUUUCCCUUCUCUCACCCUCCGCCACACGCCAUCGCCGGAAUUCGCCCUCGGCAGCGGCCAACCUCCAACUAGCCCCAAAUUACCCCCAGAUAUUCCUUGCUUUCUCCACAUGACCAUCCCACAUUUAGCUUCUUCCAAAACCUCAAUGAAACCCUCGAAUUGUAGAUCUAGGAACUGAACCCUAGCCGCCACUCGGUUCUUCUUCAUUUCCUCGAUCGAUCUGUCCUCUUUACGGUUGAGACUUACAUCAGUAGAAAGCUGUUGAUGAGAACUAUCCAUUGAUGUAAGAUUCACUCCGUUUCUCGGAGGUCGGAUAUUGGUCAACCAGCCGUUGACCGGCCAGAACUUUUUCUGAGGCUACCUCUUUUGCUUCAUCUCGAGAUCAAAUGGGUUGUUAAAUUUGAAGCCAAAAAGUGGGAUUAAACACCCUGAUGACGGGCAGGCUUGAAUUAAGAGCUGGGCAUCUUCUGUUUAUGUUUGGAUAUUGUUAUAAAUAAAAUGUAAUUAUAGUAAAACUACUCAUUCCUUGUUGAUUUCGUUAAGGAUUGUAAUUAAGAGGCUUAGUUGUAAAUUCUAGGAUUUUAGUAAAUUCAAAUGCAAGCUUUGGAGAUGAUUGCUUA